This 592-nucleotide ribosomal RNA is filed under the name uncultured bacterium. RNAcentral's name for it is "bacterial SSU rRNA". It matches the Rfam family "Bacterial small subunit ribosomal RNA", at positions 77 to 665 of the family's 1533-position model. The record is from RNAcentral.
CCUUCGGGGUGAGUACAGCGGCGGACGGGUGAGUAACGCGUAGGAAUCUACCCAGUAGUGGGGGACAACUAGUGGAAACGCUAGCUAAUACCGCAUACGCCCUACGGGGGAAAGCGGGGGACCUUCGGGCCUCGUGCUAUUGGAUGAGCCUGCGUAAGAUUAGCUUGUUGGUGGGGUAAUGGCUCACCAAGGCGACGAUCUUUAGCUGGUCUGAGAGGAUGAUCAGCCACACCGGGACUGAGACACGGCCCGGACUCCUACGGGAGGCAGCAGUCGGGAAUAUUGCGCAAUGGGCGAAAGCCUGACGCAGCCAUGCCGCGUGUGUGAAGAAGGCCCUAGGGUUGUAAAGCACUUUCAAUUGGGAGGAAAAGCUAAUGGUUAAUAACCAUUAGCCCUGACGUUACCUUUAGAAGAAGCACCGGCUAACUCCGUGCCAGCAGCCGCGGUAAUACGGGAGGGUGCAAGCGUUAAUCGGAAUUACUGGGCGUAAAGCGCGCGUAGGCGGUUUUUUAAGUCGGAUGUGAAAGCCCCGGGCUCAACCUGGGAACUGCAUCCGAUACUGGAUCACUAGAAUGCGGGAAAGGGAGGUAGA